Small nuclear RNA from Homo sapiens (human), 103 nucleotides. The record is from Ensembl. Lineage: Eukaryota; Metazoa; Chordata; Mammalia; Primates; Hominidae.
GGGAUUGUUUAGGAGCACAUAUAUGAAAAUUGCAGUGAUACAGAGAAAGAUUAGUAUGUCUUCUCUACAAGGCAUGCACAUUCGUGGAAGUCUACAUUUUGAU